AUGAACGUUGGCGGCGUGGAUUAGGCAUGCAAGUCGAGCGAGAAGUCCUUCGGGACGGACAGCGGCGAAAGGGAGAGGAAUACGUAGAAAUCUACCCCUGAGACCGGGAUAGCGUCGGGAAACUGGCAGUAAUACCGGAUAAUGUCUUAGGACCAAAGGUGUGAUUCCACUUGGGGAUGAGUCUACGCCCUAUUAGCUAGUUGGUGGGGUAAUGGCCUACCAAGGCGAUGAUGGGUAGCGGGUGUGAGAGCAUGAUCCGCCUCACUGGGACUGAGAACUGCCCAGACACCUACGGGUGGCUGCAGUCGAGAAUCUUUGUCAAUGGACGAAAGUCUGAACAAGCGACGCCGCGUGCGGGAUGAAGGCCUUCGGGUUGUAAACCGCUGUCGUAGGGGAACAAAUGUACGGGGGUACUCCCCUGUAUUUGAGUGAUCCUAGGAGGAAGGAGAGGCUAAGCUCGU
RNAcentral lists this ribosomal RNA (461 nucleotides) under uncultured bacterium. RNAcentral's name for it is "bacterial SSU rRNA". It matches the Rfam family "Bacterial small subunit ribosomal RNA", at positions 29 to 506 of the family's 1533-position model. The record is from RNAcentral.